CCUACGGGAGGCAGCAGUAGGGAAUAUUGCUCAAUGGGGGAAACCCUGAAGCAGCAACGCCGCGUGGAGGAUGAAGGUUUUCGGAUUGUAAACUCCUUUUGUUAGAGAAGAUAAUGACGGUAUCUAACGAAUAAGCACCGGCUAACUCCGUGCCAGCAGCCGCGGUAAUACGGAGGGUGCAAGCGUUACUCGGAAUCAAUGGGCGUAAAGGGCGGGUAGGCGGGAUAGCAAGUCAGAUGUGAAAUCCUAUGGCUUAACCAUAGAACUGCAUUUGAAACUGUUAGUCUAGAGUAUGGGAGAGGUAGGUGGAAUUCUUGGUGUAGGGGUAAAAUCCGUAGAGAUCAAGAGGAAUACUCAUUGCGAAGGCGACCUGCUAGAACAUAACUGACGCUGAUGCGCGAAAGCGUGGGGAGCAAACAGGAUUAGAUACCCCUGUAGUC
This 440-nucleotide ribosomal RNA is filed under the name uncultured bacterium. RNAcentral's name for it is "partial 16S ribosomal RNA". It matches the Rfam family "Bacterial small subunit ribosomal RNA", at positions 338 to 795 of the family's 1533-position model. The record is from RNAcentral.